This is a non-coding RNA of Pelobates cultripes (western spadefoot toad), 318 nucleotides long. Lineage: Eukaryota; Metazoa; Chordata; Amphibia; Anura; Pelobatidae. The record is from the annotation of a GenBank genome assembly.
GCCUCUUGUACUGUGGGGCCUAGGAGCUAGCCACCUUAGGGCCUGGAAUGCACUGAUGUAGGAUGCGGGUAGUGAGGGAGCACUCUCCCCUGAGCUCUUCCUGCUCAGCUCCCUCGCGUGCACCGUAGUGAUGCCGGAGCAUGACGUCACUCCGGCCCGGCAUCACUAAGAGGAGCGCGAGGGAGCUGAGCUGGAGGAUCAGAGCUCCCUUCGCCACCCGCCUCCACCGUCCACCUGCCUGCCUGACCGACCACCUACCUGUGCCUGUCGAGCCAGCCCCAAUGGACCCUAGGGAAGAAAAUACUUCAGCACUUUAAA